Molecule: long non-coding RNA, 2657 nt
Filed under: Ananas comosus (pineapple)
Lineage: Eukaryota; Viridiplantae; Streptophyta; Magnoliopsida; Poales; Bromeliaceae
Description: long non-coding RNA (ACOM_LNC020955)
Source: RNAcentral
AUAUAUAUAUAUAUAUAUAUAAGCGUAUAGGAAUUCCGACAAUGACAGAUGGAAUCUAAAAAAAAUAAAAUAAUAUUCUUUACAAAUGGUUAUGAUUAAUUUAUUAAAAAUAUCUCAAAUAAAAUGAACAGUUAUAAUUAAUCUAUUAAAAAGCAUCAUUCCUAUCCAUUUAUAAAUUCAAUUCUAGUGACGAUUCUAAUCAAUUUGUUAAAAAAUAUCUCAAAUAAAAACAAACGGUUAUGAUCAAAAUUAAAAAUAUCUCAAAUAUCUAUUCAUCUAUUUUACAUUAAAAUUAAAAUUUGAGUUUAAAUUAUGAAUUAAAUUUAAUUUGUACCAAAUUUGAAUUAACAAUUAAUUUUUUUAUUACAGUGGAUCAAAAUUAAAUUUUUAAAUUUUAAAGUAAAUGUGAAUUAAAUUUUGAUGCUUUUAGUUUAAAAUACAUAUUUAAAUUUAAUUCAUCAAAAAUUAAAAAGUAUAUAAAAAUGUUCGAUGUAUAUAAAAAAAAAAGAACAAUGUAGGAUAUUGUAAAUAUUUUCUAAUAAAAUAUAACAUAUAAUUUAUAAAUAUAAUUUUUAUUGUAAAAUUGUGGAUAUAUUAUAUAUAUAUAAUGUACAAAUUUAUAUUGAUUUGAAAUAAAUUAUAAUAAUUGUUACGUGCAUUUGUACGUACAUUCAACUAGUAUAUAUAUAAGCGUAUAGGAAUUCUGACAAUGACAGACGGAAUCUAAAAAGGAAUAAAAGAAUAUUUUAUAUAUUUCCUACGAACGAGUACGAACGGGUAUGAUUACUUAAUUAAAAAAAUCUCAAAUAAAAACGAAUGGUUAUGAUUAACCCAUUAAAAAAUAGCAUUCUUAUCCAUUUAUAAAAAAAUCCAAAAAGGAAUAAAAAAAUAUUCCCUAUAUUUUCUACGAACAUGUAUGAUCAAUUAAUUAAAAAAAUCUCAAAUAAGAAUGAACGGUUAUGAUUAAUCUAACAUUCUUAUCCAUCUAUAAAUCAAAUCCUACGAAUGGUUGUGUCAAUUAAAAAUGAACGGUUAACUUAAUUAAAAAAAUCUCAAAUAAGAACAAAUGGUAUGAUUAAUCUGUUAAAAAAUAGCAUUAUUAUCCAAAAAUUUUAAUUAUAGUGGAUGAAAUGUAAAUUUUAAAUUUCAAAAUAAAUAUGAAUUAAAUUUUUAUGAGUAUAUAGGAAUUCCGACAAUGACAGACGGAAUCAAAAAAGGAAUAAAAGAAUAUUUUAUAUAUUUCCUACGAACGAGUACGAACGGGUAUGAUCACUUAAUUAAAAAAAUUUCAAAUAAAAAUGAACUGUUAUGAUUAACUUAUUAAAAAAUAGGAUUCUUAUCCAUUUAUAAAGAAAUCCAAAAAGGAAUAAAAGAAUAUUCCCUAUAUUUUCUACGAACAGGUAUGAUCACUUAAUUAAAAUAAUCUCAAAUAAGAAUGAAUGGUUAUGAUUAAUCUAGCAUUCUUAUCCAUCUAUAAAUCAAAUCCUACGAAUGGUUGUGUCAAUUAAAAAUGAAUGGUUCACUUAAUUAAAAAAAUCUCAAAUAAGAACAAACGGUAUGAUUAAUCUGUUAAAAAAUAGCAUUAUUAUCCAAAAAUUUAAUUAUAGUGGAUGAAAAUUAAAUUUUAAAUUUCAAAAUAAAUAUGAAUUGAGACGAGAUUUGUGGUUUUUGGCCUUUCGCCUAUUCACCCCCCUCUAGGUGAUAGAUACAAUCUAGAUAGAUCCUUGGGCUCCUCAAAACUUUCAUGCUAGUAAUAGCACGAAGCACUUGGUGCUAUCAAGUUUUCCCCCGUUAGAUCUACCUUUUGAUCAUUUUCACCCGUUAGAUCAUACUACUCAACCAACCACUCACUCAACCCUAGGAGGCCCACAUCAUCCUAACUGCACCUCUCUUAAUCCAAUGACCAAAAACUUAGUAGCACCAAUGAUUUGGUGCUAUUAAUAGUAUAUUAGCCUAGUUAUAUAUAUAUAUAUAGUUGAGCUAGAAUACUAUCGAUAGCAAACCGACUCUUUUGCCACCCAUUUGUUUUUGAUGAUGGGGCCUCCAAAUCGACGAUCGGCACCGUUGAACAUGAUUUAUACCACUUGAAGUGUUUAGAAAUCAAAUUUCAAAUCUUUUCGACAUCAUUUGCCUAAUGAUCAAAGAGUUUCAAAAUUUGUAAUUUUAAUGGUCGAUAUGAGACGUUUUCUCGUUUAACGGUGUAAAGAUAUCCAAAUCAAUUGAAUUUUUGUUAGAAAAUUCUUUAAACUAUUUAAAACAAGAUCUAUACUCUUGAUCUUGAUUACAAGACUCCUAUCAUCAUUUUUUUAAGAAUAUUCAUUUUCAGCCGUUCAUUUUUGUGCCCAUUUGAUGGAUAAGAUAAUAAUAUUGAAAAUGUAUGAAAUUUGAUUUCUAAAUACUUCAAAUGGUAUAAAUCAUGUUCAACGGUGUCGAUCGUCGAUUUGGAGGCUCCAUCAUCGAAAACAAAUAGGUGGCAAAAGAGCCGGUUUGCUAUCGAUAGUAUUCUAACUCAACUAUAGUAUAUAUAUAUAUAUAUAUACUAGUUGAGUGUACUUGCAAAUGCACGUAAUAAUUAUUUUAAUUUAUUUUAAAUCAAUAUAAAUUUGCACAUUAUAUUUAUUUAUAAAUUUAUAAUUUAUAAAUUCAUAUGUUAUAUU